This 90-nucleotide microRNA precursor is filed under the name Nomascus leucogenys (northern white-cheeked gibbon). RNAcentral describes it as "miRNA (ENSNLEG00000030072.1)". The record is from RNAcentral. Lineage: Eukaryota; Metazoa; Chordata; Mammalia; Primates; Hylobatidae.
GAUUCUACUGGGUUAGUGCAAAUGUGAUUGCAGUUUUUGCAAUUACUUUUAAUGGCAAAAACUGCAAUCAUGUUUGCACCAAUCUAAUAA